Molecule: long non-coding RNA, 850 nt
Filed under: Gorilla gorilla gorilla (western lowland gorilla)
Lineage: Eukaryota; Metazoa; Chordata; Mammalia; Primates; Hominidae
Description: lncRNA (ENSGGOG00000044698.1)
Source: RNAcentral
GGUAAGUCUAACUUUGGAGAUUCUCUACCAGUCAUCUUGGGUGACCUGAGGUAGCCAUAUGAAAUGGCGAGAUUUGACAUCAUCCCUCUUCUGCGCCAGAAGGAACAAUUAGUCCUUCCAUAAAUAGAUCAAUAUUCGCUCAUGCUGUAGACUAUGGAAUCCAAUCUGUAGUAUCCUUUCUGCAUGUUGGCACCAAGCCUACCUCAUGAAACCAGCAAUGGGCAUUUUUCUAAUUCUACUUUCAAAGGUCCCAUUAUGGGUAAUACAAAAGAACAUGAAAAAGUCUAUACAUUUUUUUUUCUCCUGCCAUUUUCCAAAAGUUCAUCUUCAAAAGAAUCAGAAGCAGUUGACCUACAUUUCAAUAUGCCUUCAUCACAAACACUUUCUCAAACCCUGGUGGCUGUGUUGAGAAGAAAUCUUGAGGACAUUACAGAACUUCUGAGAAUUUUCACGGAUGGAAAUUCUUCCUUUCUAGGCCUUAAGACACAAAGCUUCAGUUUCUGUCCUCUGCCAUCCACUCAAAAGCUUUCACAUUUACCUGUCAGAAUGUUUUCCCACAUACUUCAUAUGACUUUUCCAUGUGGAUGGCGAGGGCAUCUAUUCUUGCUGCAAUCUCAGUUGUUAUGAAUAACACCUGUAUACCAAUUUAUCUUCUAUAAACCUCUUACUAUUGGGUCACUUUCUCAUUUUUUUCCCUCUCCAAACGAUGAACUGAUUUAACUAAUUCCACUGCCUACAACUCUCUUGAGAUCCACACUGUUAGUGGCUGCAGUGGAUAUUUCCAACCUCUUUAUAAUUUUGAGGACACAUGAAGGCAGAUUUACCUAUACACAGGAAUGCUCCUCACCUG